Molecule: ribosomal RNA, 429 nt
Filed under: uncultured bacterium
Lineage: Bacteria
Description: bacterial SSU rRNA
Rfam family: Bacterial small subunit ribosomal RNA
Source: RNAcentral
UGGGGAAUAUUGGGCAAUGGGGGAAACCCUGACCCAGCGACGCCGCGUGGGUGAUGAAGGCCUUCGGGUCGUAAAGCCUUGUCAAGAGGAAAGAAUGUCCUUAAGGCUAAUACCCUUAAGGAGUGACGGUACCUCUGAAGGAAGCACCGGCCAACUCCGUGCCAGCAGCCGCGGUAAGACGGAGGGUGCAAGCGUUGCUCGGAAUCAUUGGGCGUAAAGGGUGCGUAGGCGGCUUCUUAAGUCUGGCGUGAAAGCCCAGGGCUCAGCCUUGGAAGUGCGCUAGAAACUGGGGAGCUUGAGUGCCGGAGGGGAGAGUGGAAUUCCUGGUGUAGCGGUGAAAUGCGUAGAUAUCAGGAGGAAUACCGGUGGCGAAAGCGACUCUCUGGACGGUAACUGACGCUGAGGCACGAAAGCGUGGGUAGCAAACAG